GACGAACGCUGGCGGCGUGCUUAACACAUGCAAGUCGAACGAAGCAGCUUAACGGAACUCUUCGGAGGGAAGAUAAGUUGACUGAGUGGCGGACGGGUGAGUAACGCGUGAGCAACCUGCCCAUAAGAGGGGGAUAACAGUUGGAAACGACUGCUAAUACCGCAUAAGACCACAUUACCGCAUGGUAGAGGGGUCAAAGAAAUUCGCUUAUGGAGGGGCUCGCGUCCCAUUAGGUAGUUGGUAGGGUAAAGGCCUACCAAGCCGACGAUGGGUAGCCGACCUGAGAGGGUGAUCGGCCACACUGGAACUGAGACACGGUCCAGACUCCUACGGGAGGCAGCAGUGGGGAAUAUUGGGCAAUGGGCGCAAGCCUGACCCAGCAACGCCGCGUGAGGGAAGAAGGCCUUCGGGUUGUAAACCUCUGUCCUAUGGGAAGAAGAAAGUGACGGUACCAUAGGAGGAAGCUCCGGCUAACUACGUGCCAGCAGCCGCGGUAAUACGUAGGGAGCAAGCGUUGUCCGGAAUUACUGGGCGUAAAGGGUGCGUAGGCGGUUGUUUAAGUCAGAUGUGAAAUACCCGGGCUUAACCCGGGGGCUGCAUCUGAUACUGGAUAACUAGAGUGCAGGAGAGGAAAGUGGAAUUCCUAGUGUAGCGGUGGAAUGCGUAGAUAUUAGGAGGAACACCAGUGGCGAAGGCGACUUUCUGGACUGUAACUGACGCUGAGGCACGAAAGUAUGGGUAGCAAACAGGAUUAGAUACCCUGGUAGUCCAUACUGUAAACGAUGAAUACUAGGUGUGGGGGACAAUAGUCUUCCGUGCCGCAGCCAACGCAAUAAGUAUUCCGCCUGGGGAGUACGGUCGCAAGACUGAAACUCAAAGGAAUUGACGGGGGCCCGCACAAGCAGCGGAGCAUGUGGUUUAAUUCGAAGCAACGCGAAGAACCUUACCAAGGCUUGACAUCCCGGUGACCGGCAUAGAGAUAUGCCUUCUCUUCGGAGCACCGGUGACAGGUGGUGCAUGGUUGUCGUCAGCUCGUGUCGUGAGAUGUUGGGUUAAGUCCCGCAACGAGCGCAACCCUUGUUACUAGUUGCCAGCAUUUCGGAUGGGAACUCUAGUGAGACUGCCGGGGAUAACUCGGAGGAAGGUGGGGAUGACGUCAAAUCAUCAUGCCCUUUAUGUCUUGGGCUACACACGUGCUACAAUGGUCGGUACAAAGAGCGGCGAGCUCGUAAGAGUAAGCGAAUCUCAUAAAGCCGGUCUCAGUUCAGAUUGUGGGCUGCAACCCGCCCACAUGAAGUCGGAGUUGCUAGUAAUCGCGGAUCAGCAUGCCGCGGUGAAUGCGUUCCCGGGCCUUGUACACACCGCCCGUCACACCAUGGAAGUUGGGGGCGCCCGAAGCCGAUGGCCUAACCGCAAGGAGGGAGUCGUCGAAGGUGAAACCAAUGACUGGGGUGAAGUCGUAACAAGGUAGCCGUAUCGGAAGGUGCGGCUGGAUCACCUCCUUAAUCACGAAUUCUGGAUCCGAUACGUAACGCGUCUGCAGCAUGCGUGGUACCGAGCUUUCCCUAUAGUGAGUCGUAUUAGAGCUUGGCGUAAUCAUGGUCAUAGCUGUUUC
Molecule: ribosomal RNA, 1615 nt
Filed under: uncultured bacterium
Lineage: Bacteria
Description: bacterial SSU rRNA
Rfam family: Bacterial small subunit ribosomal RNA
Source: RNAcentral